Molecule: long non-coding RNA, 716 nt
Filed under: Androctonus crassicauda
Lineage: Eukaryota; Metazoa; Arthropoda; Arachnida; Scorpiones; Buthidae
Source: RNAcentral
CACACACACACACACACACACACACACACACACACACACACACACACACACACACAACAUCACUACACCAUCACACUCUCCAAGGCAAAACAAUAUUAAACACAUUUCAAUUGACAAUAGUACUCCACGGGGCAACAAAAAAUUUGCAUACUGAAACAUUUGACAUCCUAGUCAAUGAAAAGAGCUCGUGGCAAACCGCGAUAUUAUGCAAAUAAUCUGACGGAAAUAUAGCAUUGCAGCACUGGAAGAAAUCAACUAAUUCCAAUACUUUCAUAUGCGAUACACGACUUAAAGCAAAAUUAAAAAACGAUUAACAAAAAGGAUUAUAUGGAUAACCCAGGACAUUCUGCAAUCACAAAUAACAACAUGACAACUGACACAUCUAUUUCAGAAAUAAAUAUCAAAAAAAUUACGAGCUACACAUUCCAAACUGUGUUCCCAACUAAUGAAGAAACAAUUACGGUGAUGCAAACACUGAAACUGCUACCAAGACGAGGAGACACACGAAUAGUGAAAUGCAAAAAAUGCCAAGGUAAGAAAAUAAUACAUAGCAUAAAUAAAAUAUACACUUAGCGUAAAUAAUCAUAGAGAAAGCCUAAAAUAACUUUCAUAACCAACUACCUGUAAACAAGAUCUAAACAACCAAGCAACAGACGGAGAAAGAUUGUUAACAUUACUGAACGACAUUAAACAUGUAUACCCAGGUCCUGAGGAAA